Molecule: unclassified non-coding RNA, 352 nt
Filed under: soil metagenome
Description: partial contains 5.8S ribosomal RNA, internal transcribed spacer 2, and large subunit ribosomal RNA
Rfam family: 5.8S ribosomal RNA (bases 1-120)
Source: RNAcentral
GAUGAAGAACGCAGCGAAAUGCGAUAAGUAAUGUGAAUUGCAGAAUUCAGUGAAUCAUCGAAUCUUUGAACGCACAUUGCGCCCGCCAGUAUUCUGGCGGGCAUGCCUGUUCGAGCGUCAUUACAACCCUCAGGCCCCCGGGCCUGGCGUUGGGGAUCGGCGGAGCCCCCCGUGGGCACACGCCGUCCCCCAAAUACAGUGGCGGUCCCGCCGCAGCUUCCAUCGCGUAGUAGCUAACACCUCGCGACUGGAGAGCGGCGCGGCCACGCCGUAAAACACCCAACUCUUCUGAAGUUGACCUCGAAUCAGGUAGGAAUACCCGCUGAACUUAAGCAUAUCAAUAAGCAGAGGA